GGGUUGUGAGGUUAAGCGACUAAGCGUACACGGUGGAUGCCCUGGCAGUCAGAGGCGAUGAAGGGCGUGCUAAUCUGCGAUAAGCGCCGGUAAGGUGAUAUGAACCGUUAUAACCGGCGAUACCCGAAUGGGGAAACCCAGUGUGAUUCGUCACACUAUCAUUAACUGAAUCCAUAGGUUAAUGAGGCGAACCGGGGGAACUGAAACAUCUAAGUACCCCGAGGAAAAGAAAUCAACCGAGAUUCCCCCAGUAGCGGCGAGCGAACGGGGAGGAGCCCAGAGCCUGAAUCAGCAUGUGUGUUAGUGGAAGCGUCUGGAAAGGCGCGCGAUACAGGGUGACAGCCCCGUACACAAAAGCGCAUGUGCUGUGAGCUCGAUGAGUAGGGCGGGACACGUGGUAUCCUGUCUGAAUAUGGGGGGACCAUCCUCCAAGGCUAAAUACUCCUGACUGACCGAUAGUGAACCAGUACCGUGAGGGAAAGGCGAAAAGAACCCCGGCGAGGGGAGUGAAAAAGAACCUGAAACCGUGUACGUACAAGCAGUGGGAGCACCCUUCGGGGUGUGACUGCGUACCUUUUGUAUAAUGGGUCAGCGACUUAUAUUCUGUAGCAAGGUUAACCGUAUAGGGGAGCCGGAGGGAAACCGAGUCUUAAUUGGGCGUUAAGUUGCAGGGUAUAGACCCGAAACCCGGUGAUCUAGCCAUGGGCAGGUUGAAGGUUGGGUAACACUAACUGGAGGACCGAACCGACUAAUGUUGAAAAAUUAGCGGAUGACCUGUGGCUGGGGGUGAAAGGCCAAUCAAACCGGGAGAUAGCUGGUUCUCCCCGAAAGCUAUUUAGGUAGCGCCUCGUGAAUUCAUCUCCGGGGGUAGAGCACUGUUUCGGCUAGGGGGCCAUCCCGGCUUACCAACCCGAUGCAAACUGCGAAUACCGGAGAAUGUUAUCACGGGAGACACACGGCGGGUGCUAACGUCCGUCGUGAAGAGGGAAACAACCCAGACCGCCAGCUAAGGUCCCAAAGUCAUGGUUAAGUGGGAAACGAUGUGGGAAGGCCCAGACAGCCAGGAUGUUGGCUUAGAAGCAGCCAUCAUUUAAAGAAAGCGUAAUAGCUCACUGGUCGAGUCGGCCUGCGCGGAAGAUGUAACGGGGCUAAACCAUGCACCGAAGCUGCGGCAGCGAACGUAUCACCCAAGACAACUUUACGGAGUUGACGAUUGACGGAGCGAAGCGACGUCAAAGCGUUCAUUAAAGUCGAGUUGGCUUAGGGAUACGUUCGUUGGGUAGGGGAGCGUUCUGUAAGCCUGUGAAGGUGUGUCGUGAGGCAUGCUGGAGGUAUCAGAAGUGCGAAUGCUGACAUAAGUAACGAUAAAGCGGGUGAAAAGCCCGCUCGCCGGAAGACCAAGGGUUCCUGUCCAACGUUAAUCGGGGCAGGGUGAGUCGACCCCUAAGGCGAGGCCGAAAGGCGUAGUCGAUGGGAAACGGGUUAAUAUUCCCGUACUUGGUGUUACUGCGAAGGGGGACGGAGAAGGCUAUGUUGGCCGGGCGACGGUUGUCCCGGUUUAAGCGUGUAGGUGUGUGUUCCAGGUAAAUCCGGUUCACUUUAACACUGAGGCGUGACGACGAGGCACUACGGUGCUGAAGCAACAAAUGCCCUGCUUCCAGGAAAAGCCUCUAAGCAUCAGGUAACAUCAAAUCGUACCCCAAACCGACACAGGUGGUCAGGUAGAGAAUACCAAGGCGCUUGAGAGAACUCGGGUGAAGGAACUAGGCAAAAUGGUGCCGUAACUUCGGGAGAAGGCACGCUGACACGUAGGUGAAGUGAUUUACUCAUGGAGCUGAAGUCAGUCGAAGAUACCAGCUGGCUGCAACUGUUUAUUAAAAACACAGCACUGUGCAAACACGAAAGUGGACGUAUACGGUGUGACGCCUGCCCGGUGCCGGAAGGUUAAUUGAUGGGGUCAGCGCAAGCGAAGCUCCUGAUCGAAGCCCCGGUAAACGGCGGCCGUAACUAUAACGGUCCUAAGGUAGCGAAAUUCCUUGUCGGGUAAGUUCCGACCUGCACGAAUGGCGUAAUGAUGGCCAGGCUGUCUCCACCCGAGACUCAGUGAAAUUGAACUCGCUGUGAAGAUGCAGUGUACCCGCGGCAAGACGGAAAGACCCCGUGAACCUUUACUAUAGCUUGACACUGAACAUUGAGCCUUGAUGUGUAGGAUAGGUGGGAGGCUUUGAAGUGUGGACGCCAGUCUGCAUGGAGCCGACCUUGAAAUACCACCCUUUAAUGUUUGAUGUUCUAACGUGGACCCGUAAUCCGGGUUGCGGACAGUGUCUGGUGGGUAGUUUGACUGGGGCGGUCUCCUCCUAAAGAGUAACGGAGGAGCACGAAGGUUGGCUAAUCCUGGUCGGACAUCAGGAGGUUAGUGCAAUGGCAUAAGCCAGCUUGACUGCGAGCGUGACGGCGCGAGCAGGUGCGAAAGCAGGUCAUAGUGAUCCGGUGGUUCUGAAUGGAAGGGCCAUCGCUCAACGGAUAAAAGGUACUCCGGGGAUAACAGGCUGAUACCGCCCAAGAGUUCAUAUCGACGGCGGUGUUUGGCACCUCGAUGUCGGCUCAUCACAUCCUGGGGCUGAAGUAGGUCCCAAGGGUAUGGCUGUUCGCCAUUUAAAGUGGUACGCGAGCUGGGUUUAGAACGUCGUGAGACAGUUCGGUCCCUAUCUGCCGUGGGCGCUGGAGAACUGAGGGGGGCUGCUCCUAGUACGAGAGGACCGGAGUGGACGCAUCACUGGUGUUCGGGUUGUCAUGCCAAUGGCACUGCCCGGUAGCUAAAUGCGGAAGAGAUAAGUGCUGAAAGCAUCUAAGCACGAAACUUGCCCCGAGAUGAGUUCUCCCUGAGACUUAGAGUCUCCUGAAGGAACGUUGAAGACGACGACGUUGAUAGGCCGGGUGUGUAAGCGCAGCGAUGCGUUGAGCUAACCGGUACUAAUGAACCGUGAGGCUUAACCUUACAACGCCGAAG
Molecule: ribosomal RNA, 3010 nt
Filed under: Salmonella enterica subsp. enterica serovar Typhimurium
Lineage: Bacteria; Pseudomonadati; Pseudomonadota; Gammaproteobacteria; Enterobacterales; Enterobacteriaceae
Description: bacterial LSU rRNA
Rfam family: Bacterial large subunit ribosomal RNA
Source: RNAcentral